GAUGAACGCUGGCGGCGUGCCUAAUACAUGCAAGUCGAGCGAACGGACGAGAAGCUUGCUUCUCUGAUGUUAGCGGCGGACGGGUGAGUAACACGUGGAUAACCUACCUAUAAGACUGGGAUAACUUCGGGAAACCGUAGCUAAUACCGGAUAAUAUUUUGAACCGCAUGGUUCAAAAGUGAAAGACGGUCUUGCUGUCACUUAUAGAUGGAUCCGCGCUGCAUUAGCUAGUUGGUAAGGUAACGGCUUACCAAGGCAACGAUGCAUAGCCGACCUGAGAGGGUGAUCGGCCACACUGGAACUGAGACACGGUCCAGACUCCUACGGGAGGCAGCAGUAGGGAAUCUUCCGCAAUGGGCGAAAGCCUGACGGAGCAACGCCGCGUGAGUGAUGAAGGUCUUUGGAUCGUAAAACUCUGUUAUUAGGGAAGAACAUAUGUGUAAGUAACUGUGCACAUCUUGACGGUACCUAAUCAGAAAGCCACGGCUAACUACGUG
RNAcentral lists this ribosomal RNA (497 nucleotides) under uncultured bacterium. Its description in RNAcentral is "partial 16S ribosomal RNA". It matches the Rfam family "Bacterial small subunit ribosomal RNA", at positions 28 to 507 of the family's 1533-position model. The record is from RNAcentral.